AGAGUUUGAUUCUGGCUCAGGAUGAACGCUAGCGACAGGCUUAACACAUGCAAGUCGAGGGGCAUCACGGGAGUAGCAAUACAACUGGUGGCGACCGGCGCACGGGUGAGUAACGCGUAUGCAACCUACCUAUCAGAGGGGAAUAACCCGGCGAAAGUCGGACUAAUACCGCAUAAAACAGGGCACCGCAUGGUGAUAUUUGUUAAAGAAAUUCGCUGAUAGAUGGGCAUGCGUUCCAUUAGGUAGUUGGUGAGGUAACGGCUCACCAAGCCGACGAUGGAUAGGGGAACUGAGAGGUUGGUCCCCCACACUGGUACUGAGACACGGACCAGACUCCUACGGGAGGCAGCAGUGAGGAAUAUUGGUCAAUGGGCGGGAGCCUGAACCAGCCAAGUCGCCGUGAAGGAAGAAGGAUCUACGGUUCGUAAACUUCUUUUGCAGGGGAAUAAAGUGCAGGACGUGUCCUGUUUUGUAUGUACCCUGAGAAUAAGGAUCGGCUAACUCCGUGCCAGCCGCCGC
RNAcentral lists this ribosomal RNA (519 nucleotides) under uncultured bacterium. RNAcentral describes it as "bacterial SSU rRNA". It matches the Rfam family "Bacterial small subunit ribosomal RNA", at positions 8 to 518 of the family's 1533-position model. The record is from RNAcentral.